AGCGGCGGACGGGUGAGUAACGCGUGGGUAACCUGCCUCAUACAGGGGGAUAACAGUUAGAAAUGACUGCUAAUACCGCAUAAGACCACAGCACCGCAUGGUGCGGGGGUAAAAACUCCGGCGGUAUGAGAUGGACCCGCGUCUGAUUAGCUGGUUGGUAAGGUAACGGCUUACCAAGGCGACGAUCAGUAGCCGACCUGAGAGGGUGACCGGCCACAUUGGGACUGAGACACGGCCCAA
RNAcentral lists this ribosomal RNA (240 nucleotides) under uncultured bacterium. RNAcentral's name for it is "partial 16S ribosomal RNA". It matches the Rfam family "Bacterial small subunit ribosomal RNA", at positions 94 to 334 of the family's 1533-position model. The record is from RNAcentral.